Molecule: long non-coding RNA, 1206 nt
Organism: Piliocolobus tephrosceles (Ugandan red Colobus)
Lineage: Eukaryota; Metazoa; Chordata; Mammalia; Primates; Cercopithecidae
Source: Ensembl
ACAAUUUAACAAACAAUUUAACAAACAGUUUAACACAAAAUAAACAAAUGAAAGAAUAUCCAACUGAAUACAUAAAUAGAAUACAUACAUAUGAUGAUUAUAACAAUAUUAAAGUAAAUACAAAUUUAAUGACUAUUAAUGACAAUACUUUGAUUAAUAAAAAAAAUAUUAAUAAUAAUUUAAGUCAGGAUAAAGAAAACCAACCACAGUAUAUUAUUAAAAAUAACAAUAAAUUUAAUACUAAUUUAAAUCAUGAUAAAUCUAACAGUUUAUUUAAUAGUGAAAAUAAAACAAAAUUAAAAAAAAAAAAAAAACUCAAAUAAAAAUACGAAAAUAAUGAAACAGACAGGAGGCAGUGGCAAUGGUAGUGGAAAAGAUAGUGGUAGUGGAAAAGAUAGUGGUAGUGGAAAAGGCAAUGGUAGUGAAAAUGACAAAAUAAUUUACAAUGUUGACAACAACACAUAUGAAACAAAAUUUCGUAAUAUUGAUAAUAAUAGUGGUAGUAAUAAUAAUAGUAGCAAUAAUAAUAGUAGCAAUAAUAAUAGUAGUAAUAAUAAUAGUGGUAAUAAUAAUAGUAGUAAUAAUAAUAGUGGUAAUAAUAACAGUGGUAAUAAUAAUAGUAGUAAUAUUAAUAGUAGUAAUAUUAAUAGUAGUAAUAUUAAUAGUAGUAAUAUUAAUAGUAGUAAUAUUAAUAGUAGUAAUAUUAAUAGUAGUAAUAUUAAUAGUAGUAAUAAUAACAAUUUGAAAAAUACGAUAAUAGAUGAACGUAAAGGUACAUAUAAUAAAUCAUUUAAAAACAUGACAACAACAAAAUUUUCAAACGAUAAAGUUCAAUAUAAAGAUAAUAAUAUCACGCGUUCUAAUAAUAACAAUAAUAAUAGUAGUGCUAAUAAUAACGAUGAUAAAGCAUGUAAUAAUAAUAAUAAUAAUAUUAUAUUUAAAAAAAUAUUGUCAGACAAUAAUAAUAAUAAUAAUAAUAAUAAUACUACAUUUGAAAAUUAUACAAAUACGCAAAAUUUAAAUACAAUUGUUAAAAAAAGAAAGGGAAGAAAACCUAAAAAAAGUACGUUAAAAAUGGAUUUACCUGAUCAUACUAAAAAUAAUAAUAAAAAUGACACUAGUCAUAAUAAUAACAGUGGUAAUAGUAAUGGUGGUAAUGACGGUAAUGGUGGUAAUGACGGUAAUGGUGGUAAUGGUGGUAAUGGU